AAAGUUACCUGGCAGGGGAGAUACCAUGAUCACGAAGGUAGUUUUCCCAGGGCGAGGCUUAACCAUUGCACUCUGGAUGUGCUGACCCCUGCAAUUUCCCCAAAUGCGGGAAACUCCACUGCAUAAUUUGUGGUAAUGGUGGACUGCGUUCGCGCUCUCCGCUG
Molecule: small nuclear RNA, 164 nt
Filed under: Chinchilla lanigera (long-tailed chinchilla)
Lineage: Eukaryota; Metazoa; Chordata; Mammalia; Rodentia; Chinchillidae
Description: U1 spliceosomal RNA (ENSCLAG00000018529.1)
Rfam family: U1 spliceosomal RNA
About the family: U1 is a small nuclear RNA (snRNA) component of the spliceosome (involved in pre-mRNA splicing). Its 5' end forms complementary base pairs with the 5' splice junction, thus defining the 5' donor site of an intron.
Source: Rfam by way of RNAcentral